AGCCACCAAGGCCUCUGACAGCGAAGCGCCCCACCCGGGCGAAGGCGCGGGGCUCAACGGAGAGGGGACGGGGCGUGGCGAACUGUAAUGGGCAAUGAACAUGAACUAUUCAGGGGAAGAUUGUUAAAUGAAAGAAUCUCACCGGGCGGGGAGCCAAGCAUGACACCUGGCGACCUGCCUGUGCCUUGUGCCUGUCCUGCCGAGAAGAGAGAAGAGGCGUUGAAAGCAGCCAGCGGUGGUGCACACCAGCCUGGGCAGGGGGCAGUAAGCAGGAGCAGCCCCGACCCAAGACCAGUGGCCUCUCCCUUCACCUCCAAGCCGGAGCAUGGCCUCACCCCUCCCAGGUGACUCUUUUCCCAGAAAUGGGAAUGUCUCAAGAAGCCACCUCUCACCAAGCAUCUGCCAGGCCAUUUCAGCUCCCAGGAGUCCUUGUCCUGCCCCACCAGCUCUGUCUCAUCUAGAUGGGGCCCUCUGUCCAGUGGUACUGAACAGAAUGUUCUGCAUGCCUGGCCAAUGCAGAGACCU
This 525-nucleotide non-coding RNA is filed under the name Pongo abelii (Sumatran orangutan). Lineage: Eukaryota; Metazoa; Chordata; Mammalia; Primates; Hominidae. The record is from RNAcentral.